UAAAACGUCACAGCAAUCUUUGUUUUCUUCAUCUCAGUCGUCGUCUUCGCCCCUCUGAAGAAACCCUAAUCCCCCCUCCCCAGAAUCAUCUUCUAACUUCUGUCAUUUAAUUUCCUCUUUCUCCAAUCUCGAUUUAAAUUUCUGCAAAUUUUUCUGUUAAACCAAUUGUCUUUUAUAAUUCUUGCUUUCGGAGGCGUUGCGUUAAUCGGCUAAAUCUCAAUUCCGAUGAACGUGUCAAGGGGAGCAUACAACAAUAUUUCUGCAAUUAUAACUUCAAUCUGAUUUUCUCAAUCUUUUUUUGCAACUGCGAUCCCAAUUAGUCAAUUCGUAGUUCGCAUAUGAAGUUCCUAAUUGUAACAUCUGAAAAUCCCUUAAUUUCUGUGAUUUCAAUUUUGAUUUGAUUUGUUUGUUGCUUCAUAUGGUGAACUCUCUCUUGGUAAAUGAGAAGUGUUCUAGUUUCCGAAGCAUAAAUUAAAAACAAAAUGCCAGUUUUAAACAGCACGAUGAAUGGAUUAAUCAAUUAGUCUCCUUUACUUUCAUCGCGUUACCUGUCAGCUGGAUGAGUUGAAUACGAGAGCGAAUUCAUUCAGAUUUUCCUGAUUUGACGAAAAUCUGAACCAUGGAAGAGGGACAGCUGAUCGUCUUCAGAAUGAAUCAAAAGCCUUAGAAUUUUCAUGUUGUCAAGGUGGGGUGUCUCAAAUGCGCGAACAAGCAACUGGGGUUUUGGGCAUUUUGGCUUACCAAUGUGUUGGUAACAGAGAUCUAGCUGCUUUCUUAGAUGUUCAUAUAUGCUGCUGAUCUUAUGAGCCAAGCUCGAGAGCUCCCAAGCCUCUGUUGUUGACGAUAUAUACCUGAUCGCACCCCAAGCAUCAUUUAACCAUAUUUACUGCUUGUGAAAUUUCAAGGCCAAUAUACUCCGGAUGAUCCAAUAAGCAGCUGUUGGGAUCAAAGCAUCAGCGGUGUCAUACACUGCUGUAUGUGCAGCUAUGUACUGAGGGUUGAGGGAUUCUGAGUGUUCCAUUAUCUCGGGAAGUUGUUUAAGGAUCGCAACAGACUUUGCCAAUGGGUUUACUGUGUAGAGUUGCGCAACCAACCAGAAUUCACCGUAAUACACCGCAAAGGCUGCAAGAGCGAGGGCAACUUUUGCAUCCCAAGAGUAGUUUGAGACUGUGUUGAAAAUUGAUAGAGUUGUUGCAUGUGCAUCUCCACUUACAGAACACUUGCAAGUUAUCUACAAUAAAAAUUACUAUCAGCUCUAUCAUCUCUCCAUAUCCAGCCUGAAACGCCUUGUCAUCGAAAGCAUCCAGGGGAUUCUGUACCUGAGUAGAGCCAGGAAUGGUGGGUGCAGCACGGUAAAAGAUGUCCUCAAUGAUGUGAAAUAGAGGUUUGACAUCAAUGUCACGGCCAUCAGGGGCAUGUGUGGCUCGAAGUUGGUUUAACACUGUCGUAUCAUCAGAAGCUGAGAACAAAUGAUGAUCUCCCCUGAAUCGUUGUUUCCUGCCAGAUAUUGGAAUAAAGGUCGAAUGAACCUACUACCUUGCUUGUACUAGGGUCAAAACUUUUGAUCAUCUAACAAGGUUAGAAGAACUGAAGAGAGGCAGAUGAAGCCUGAAAGCCUCAGCUCAGUUUCUGAGUAGGAAUACCUUGCCUGUGCUGUCUACAACAUCCAGAAAAUCACCAGCUGUUAAAAAUACUGGUGGUCAAAGUAAACUGGGGCAAAUAAUUUGGGACAGAGGGAGCAGAACAAAGAUCAUACCGACAUGGGGAACGAGGGGUCGAUAGUGUCAAGGUCCAAUACAACCAUACUGGGAUUUUCAUCGAAUUCCCACUCCUUUUUUGCAUAGUUAAUCGUUGUUGAGCUGAGUGACCAUGGUUGUCGAAUUGAGUACCACGGCAAGGAGUUUGAUAAAAGAUUGAAGAUUGUUACUUCAUUGUUGCUCCAUUUUCCGGAAGUUGAGAUGGGGAUCCACAAGAUAUCAUAGCUUCUAUCUACCUUACCGUGAAGAGGGUGAUCGUAUGUCUGGUGAACCAGUGAAAACAAUUCAUCUACAGGAAGCAGUUCUGGUUUUGAAAUCAACAGGACAACCACCUUGUUCUUCAGUGAGGAGAUUCCAACCUGUCACAAGGAAAACUCCUGUUAAAAUCAUUGCAGAGAGAAACUCUGAUGUCUCAUAAACUGCUGAAUACCAGGUUUGACAACUAAGGCUCUAUUCUGUUCACCUUAUUUCCACUUAUUUCAGCAAAAAUAAGUUCAGAUAAGAUAAGUUCGGGAAAAAUAAGGAUUGACCAAGUACAAGUUAUAACUAAAAUAAGUUCAGAUUAGACAUUUUCAGAAAAAAUAAGUGAAAUUAGGUGAAUAGAACGCACCCUAACUAGUUAACUACAAUUGUAUUGUAUAGGAAGACCAUGAAUCCCAAUUCCCAACCUUAUCAUGAAAAGUUUGAACUAUUUCUUAAUUUCUUUUCUUAAGAAACUAAUAUGGUGUUUUUGAACCGCAUUUCGUGGAAUUUACUCUUGAUGCUAAUUUGGAUGAGUGAUGUUAUAAAAUCAGAUUGAUGGAUCCAGUUCAGAAGUUCACGCGUACAGCGUACUUAGUCCUGUCAGUACUGGAGCAGGCUGGUGUGUCUGCAUGCAUGGUUAUUCGUAUAGGACAUGCAUCUAAUAUGUUAAAUCUUAUUUGGUCAAAUAUUCCUGAUGAAUUGGCCUAAGAUAGCAUAGAAUAUAGUUCAUUAACAAAUUGAAGUGAAAAAAAGGUAUCCAUCUUUUCUGAAUUUAGAUGAAUUAGAGUCAGGAAACCUUUGCUUGCUUGGAUGAUUGCUUUAAUGGGAAGUCAUUCCUCAGACCAAACAACAUCCUAAGAAUUCCUUGGUUGUCAAUCUGUGGCUCCUUGAAUAGAUUCACAAGCUUCUUCUGCAUCUUCUGCUCUGCAUUUUGAGCCAGGCUUCUACCUGUGUUCUAAGUUGAGUGCCGAUACCAUUAAUCUUGCUUCUUAAACUGACAAUCUCCCAUACAGCACUUGAUAUUGAAUAUGGAUCCCUAGAGUCCAAAAUCAGGUUUGACAGUCAGUUUUCUUUCUUAAAGGUAACAUGGCAUGGAAAUUUUAUUUUGCAUACUGCAUAGGAUGAAUUGUUUGUUACCACCUUAAAAAUUAAAACUUGUAUUUUACCAUCUAGAAAAAAAUGUUAAAACUUGUUUUUUACCACCUGAAAACAAAAAAACGGAUGAAACUGUUAUGUGGGGCUCACUAAUUCAAUUUCCCUCCAUUUUUUUACACUCCAUCUGCAGUCUGCACUUUUGUUUAACCCCUUCACCCUCCUCUCUUUACUGCCAUUGAAUUUUGUCAAUUUUGUGAAUUAAUAGGAGAAAAAAUUAUGUGAAUUCAUGGAAGAGAAUGAAGUAGGGUAAGAAAAAGGAGUUAAAUACAAGUUUUAGUUUUUUAGGUGGUAAAAAACCAUUUUUUGAUUGUUUAGGUGGUAAAAACAAUUUUUCCUAUUGCAUAUUAUUGUUGUAAAACUUAAAAACUGUUGAAGCAGUGGUAGAAAUGAAUACGAACUGCAUAACUGAAAGGAAAGAGGGUGCACUUGCUCAUCUUCAAUGGCUCUCAAAUUUGUAACGAGAGUAAUGCUAACCAAAAUACUCCUGAUUAUCCAAUAAGCAGCAACAUAUAUUAACGAUUUUGUAGCUGUGACAGUCCCAUCCUGCAACUCUACAUGGGUUAUUGGUAAAUCUUCAAAUUGUGAAACAAUCCUAAUGAUUUCUACCAUAGUUUUAACUAAUGUGGUUAGUGCUACAAAGAUAGUCUCAAAUAUGUUUCUGUCUGGAAUUUUUUUGAGUAAUGCAAUCGAUGCAGCUAACGAGUUCUGGCUCUGUGAUUGCAGUAUGACCCAGUGUUCGCCAAAGACUGUCGCAAAAGCUGAAAGAGCUAGAAGCAGUUUAUCAUCCCAUCUAUAGCUCCCAAGUGUAGUUCAUGUAAUCACAUAAUUAAGGAAAGAGCUUCAAAGAAAAAGAGUAAUGCAGUAUACCUGUGAUGCAGUAGUCUGGUGCAUGAUAGUUUCAAUAACUCGAAGCAACAUCUCAGAAUCAAGUUCGCGUCCAUCUGGAUCAUGCGUAAUCAGGAUGUUCUUGAUGAGGAUGUCUGUUUCUGAAGAAUCUACGUUGCCUGGGCGGAAGCUUUCACCGUACAGGUAGUUCAAGGCCAUUGGCCGAGUAUGCGCCGAGUACUGCAAAUCACAUAUAGGGUGAUCUCUGCUUGUUCUAACUGAGUUGGGUUGCUGUUUUGGAGGGCAAUGUGAAAGAUCAAAUAAGAUAAUUGGGGCUUUUAAUGUACCAUUUCAUCCCACAAAGGGUAAGGUAUAUAUGUACUCCAUUAAAAAACUCAGUAGCAGUACUGUAGUUAGAACCUUUUGCUUUAGAUUAUUUGCUCGUUACUUAUUUAAACUUAUUUUUGUUGAAAAACACUUAUUUGUGUAUACAAAUUGUUUGAAAACUUUAUUUUUGA
Spinacia oleracea (spinach) is the source of this 4498-nucleotide long non-coding RNA. RefSeq lists it as uncharacterized. NCBI's taxonomy places the organism in Eukaryota, Viridiplantae, Streptophyta, Magnoliopsida, Caryophyllales, Amaranthaceae. The transcript is spliced from 14 exons. The record is from RefSeq and is a predicted model, not a curated record.